GGGCCCAUAGCUCAGUGGGAGAGUGCCUCCUUUGCAAAGAGGAUGCCUUGGGUUCGAAUCCCAGUGGGUCUA
This 72-nucleotide transfer RNA is filed under the name Halococcus thailandensis JCM 13552. RNAcentral's name for it is "tRNA-Ala". It matches the Rfam family "tRNA". Rfam says of the family: Transfer RNA (tRNA) molecules are approximately 80 nucleotides in length. Their secondary structure includes four short double-helical elements and three loops (D, anti-codon, and T loops). Lineage: Archaea; Methanobacteriati; Methanobacteriota; Halobacteria; Halobacteriales; Halococcaceae. The record is from RNAcentral.